GAGGGUAUAGCUCAGUGGCAGAGUGCAUGCCUGACAUACACAAGGUCCUGGGUUCAAUCCCUAGUACCUCA
RNAcentral lists this transfer RNA (71 nucleotides) under Camelus dromedarius (Arabian camel). It matches the Rfam family "tRNA". From Rfam's summary of the family: Transfer RNA (tRNA) molecules are approximately 80 nucleotides in length. The record is from Rfam by way of RNAcentral. RNAcentral also lists the same sequence under 1 other name. Lineage: Eukaryota; Metazoa; Chordata; Mammalia; Artiodactyla; Camelidae.